CACUGUUAGCAUUACUAAUAUUAAUGCAAAUUAUGAUAUGAUUAUAUGAUCCUUGUGGUCACAAUUAUUAUACUUAUUUGUAUUAUUUUAUUGGUUUUGUCAGCAUGCACUUCUCCUCUAGUAGAACGUCGCGACCCGUUAAAUGUUUAUUUAUGAGUCACAUGGUAGUCUUAUGUAUUUUAUACGCAAGACCAGUGAAUUUCUAAUAAACUGUUUGACGGUAUCUAAAAUGGUAUUGAGCCGCAAAUUUUUUUUGCGUUAAAUUUAUUACAAGCUAGGCUUACUUUAAGCAGUACGAAUUUUAUGUCGUCGUUUAAACUAGUCUGCUGUUAGUGAUAAUAUCUUUAACUGGCUUAAUUACCGGUCAGCGAUGCUACUGCUUUGGGUACUUACAGGACCCGUCUUGAAACACGGACCAAGGAGUCUAACAUGGGCGCGAGUCAUUGGGAUUAUUUUUAAAACAAACCUAAAGGCGCAAUGAAAGUAAAGAUUGUCUUUAUGACAAUUGAGGGAAGAUGGGUUACGUUACGAUGUAAUCCCGCAUUCCCGGGAUGUCUUAUUCUCAUU
RNAcentral lists this ribosomal RNA (567 nucleotides) under Heteropteron fasciipennis. Its description in RNAcentral is "eukaryotic LSU rRNA". It matches the Rfam family "Eukaryotic large subunit ribosomal RNA", at positions 386 to 781 of the family's 3401-position model. The record is from RNAcentral. Lineage: Eukaryota; Metazoa; Arthropoda; Insecta; Hymenoptera; Braconidae.